RNAcentral lists this ribosomal RNA (493 nucleotides) under uncultured bacterium. RNAcentral describes it as "bacterial SSU rRNA". It matches the Rfam family "Bacterial small subunit ribosomal RNA", at positions 36 to 535 of the family's 1533-position model. The record is from RNAcentral.
GACGAAGUACCGGCGGCGGUUAAAACUCGCAAGUCGAACGAGGCUUUGGCNAGUGGCGAACGGCGGAGUAAUACAUAAGCAACGUGCCCCGACGACCGGGAUAGCCCCUCGAAAGAGGGAUUAAUACCGGAUGUGGCCUUUCUAAGGCAUCUUAGAAAGAUUAAAACGAGUAAUCGGCAUCGGGAGCGGCUUGUGGCCUAUCAGCUUGUUGGUGGGGUAACGGCCUACCAAGGCUUCGACGGGUAGCGGGUCUGAGAGGACGAUCCGCCCGACUGGGACUGAGACACGGCCCAGACUCCUACGGGAGGCAGCAGUUGGGAAUCUUGCACAAUGGGCGAAAGCCUGAUGCAGCGACGCCGCGUGGAGGACGAAGUCUCUCGGGAUGUAAAACUUCCUUUUGCCAGGAAAGAUAAUGACGGACCUGGUUGAAAUAAGCCCCGGCUAAACUACGUUGCCCAAGCCAAGACCCGCGGUUAAGAANCNUUAAGGGGGC